Phyllopteryx taeniolatus (common seadragon) is the source of this 1018-nucleotide long non-coding RNA. RefSeq lists it as uncharacterized. The record is from RefSeq and is a predicted model, not a curated record. The transcript has 3 exons. Lineage: Eukaryota; Metazoa; Chordata; Actinopteri; Syngnathiformes; Syngnathidae.
AGUAAAAAGCUAUACAUCAAAAGCACAGACACUUAAACAAGUGGAAUAAUCGCUGAUGGCGGCUAGUGGAGUAAUGUGGACGUUAUCCUCAUUUGAAUCAAUGGAGGAAAAGUCAUCCCAGGUCUACUAAACUGACGGGGACAAGGACAGCACCACGUGGCCCUGCUACGGCUGCCAGCUGUCCACCGGCCUCAUCAGACCUAACAGACCUCCAGGGGCAGGGGUGGGGGGCUGGAAGGCGUCUGAGCUUUGGGGCGAGAAAUAGCUGAUAACUCAGGAGAAAGAAGAUAAGAAGAUCAGGAUGUAAUGAGGUUGAGGAAGACAUUUUCAACGCUUAACAAGACCAGCGAGGUGCGUUUGUUUUCUGUUGAAGUGACUUGCCUCACAGUUUCAUCCAUGAAAUCCCGAUCGCCACGCAGCACCCCACCGCAUGAUCUUCAGGAGGAAAUGUGGGCGGAAAAACAAUGACGGAACACCACUUUGUGCUCCCCCUGUUCAAAUAUUUGCUCACAUGUCAACUUUGAGUCUUGAGCAUCAAUGGUGGUAUUGUUUUUUGCUGUGUUUUAUUGUUUUGGGAGGUAUAAUUAUUUUUUUUCUUUUAAUCGAAUCUGUCUGGAGCUUAAUAGGCUGAUCUUGAUGGAUUCCUCCCACCCACACCAAAUAAGAUAUGAGCCCCACUUGGGCAGUUCUUUCUUGUAAAGACAGCCCGAAGCUAUUUUGUGCUGAUCGAACAAGUCAAAUACAGAAUUCACACAAUAAUUGCAGCAACUUUAACUAUUUGAUUAUUUAUAAUGACACAAAAAAUAAAGCCUCCUGCUGCAUCCUUUGAGAGUUGGAAUGGUCAGCACCCACCCAGGCAUUCUGCCUUGAUUGGUUGGACAAGCUGGAGAGAAAUAUAGCAAUAAAUACUCUGCAAAAUUAAUUUACAUUCAUUGUUGGGCCAGUUUGUUCCCUGACCCAUUUAAUGGUGCAUUUAAAACUCAUCUAAAGGUCCAUUCUGUCUUCUUGAACUUCUUAA